AGGGAAUAGUAUUGAUUUCUUUUCUAGAUCAGCCAGGGAUGUUACAAUGGAAAUUUUAAAAGAAACCAAAGAGAAUUAAGAUGAUGAUUAGUAUGGAUCGGUUAUCUUUAACAAAAGGGCAACCAAAAACAAAGGACGAAACAAACAGAAAAACGAAAAGAAAAGACGCUCGAAAUUAAAAAGGUUCAAAAUAGAAGACACAGCAGUAUUGAACAAUGACUGAUACUUCAAUUUCUUAACAAUUUUCUCUUCAAUAAUGAGAGUGGACAAGGGGGAGGAAGAAAAUAGUAUACACUCGCACGCUUUUAUAAAGCAAAGUU
Non-coding RNA from Schizosaccharomyces pombe (fission yeast), 320 nucleotides. Lineage: Eukaryota; Fungi; Ascomycota; Schizosaccharomycetes; Schizosaccharomycetales; Schizosaccharomycetaceae. The record is from the annotation of a GenBank genome assembly.